GAUGAACGCUGGCGGCGUGCCUAAUACAUGCAAGUCGAGCGAACAGACGAGGAGCUUGCUCCUCUGACGUUAGCGGCGGACGGGUGAGUAACACGUGGAUAACCUACCUAUAAGACUGGGAUAACUUCGGGAAACCGGAGCUAAUACCGGAUAAUAUAUUGAACCGCAUGGUUCAAUAGUGAAAGACGGUUUUACUGUCACUUAUAGAUGGAUCCGCGCCGCAUUAGCUAGUUGGUAAGGUAACGGCUUACCAAGGCAACGAUGCGUAGCCGACCUGAGAGGGUGAUCGGCCACACUGGAACUGAGACACGGUCCAGACUCCUACGGGAGGCAGCAGUAGGGAAUCUUCCGCAGUGGGCGAAAGCCUGACGGAGCAACGCCGCGUGAGUGAUGAAGGUCUUCGGAUCGUAAAACUCUGUUAUUAGGGAAGAACAAAUGUGUAAGUAACUAUGCACGUCUUGACGGUACCUAAUCAGAAAGCCACGGCUAACUACGU
This 496-nucleotide ribosomal RNA is filed under the name uncultured bacterium. RNAcentral's name for it is "partial 16S ribosomal RNA". It matches the Rfam family "Bacterial small subunit ribosomal RNA", at positions 28 to 506 of the family's 1533-position model. The record is from RNAcentral.